GAUGAAGAACGUAGCGAAAUGCGAUAAGUAAUGCGAAUUGCAGAAUUCAGUGAGUCAUCGAAUCUUUGAACGCACAUUGCGCCCUGUGGUAUUCCGCAGGGCAUGCCUGUUCGAGCGUCAUUUCAACCCUCAAGCCUCGCUUGGUGUUGGGCCCUGCCCGCCGCGGCCGGCCCUAAAGAUAGUGGCGGUGCCGCCUGGCCCUCAGCGUAGUACAGCUCUCGCUCCAGGGUCCGGCGGCAGCCUGCCAGAACCCCCCAACUCUGUGGUUGACCUCGGAUCAGGUAGGGAUACCCGCUGAACUUAAGCAUAUCAAUAAGCGGAGGA
RNAcentral lists this unclassified non-coding RNA (324 nucleotides) under soil metagenome. RNAcentral's name for it is "partial contains 5.8S ribosomal RNA, internal transcribed spacer 2, and large subunit ribosomal RNA". The stretch from base 1 to 120 matches the Rfam family "5.8S ribosomal RNA", at positions 35 to 154 of the family's 154-position model. The record is from RNAcentral.